RNAcentral lists this ribosomal RNA (460 nucleotides) under uncultured beta proteobacterium. Its description in RNAcentral is "bacterial SSU rRNA". It matches the Rfam family "Bacterial small subunit ribosomal RNA", at positions 200 to 642 of the family's 1533-position model. Lineage: Bacteria; Pseudomonadati; Pseudomonadota; Betaproteobacteria. The record is from RNAcentral.
AGGAAAGCAGGGGAUCGCAAGACCUUGCGCUUUUGGAGCGGCCGAUGUCUGAUUAGAUAGUUGGUGAGGUAAAGGCUUACCAAGGCUUCGAUCAGUAGGUGGUAUGAGAGGACGACCAGCCACACUGGGACUGAGACACGGCCCAGACUCCUACGGGAGGCAGCAGUGGGGAAUUUUGGACAAUGGGGGAAACCCUGAUCCAGCCAUGCCGCGUGAGUGAAGAAGGCCUUCGGGUUGUAAAGCUCUUUCAGCCGGAACGAAAAGGUUACGGUUAAUACCCGUGACUAAUGACGGUACCGGAAGAAGAAGCACCGGCUAACUACGUGCCAGCAGCCGCGGUAAUACGUAGGGUGCGAGCGUUAAUCGGAAUUACUGGGCGUAAAGCGUGCGCAGGCGGUUUUGUAAGUCAGAUGUGAAUCCCCGGGCUCAACCUGGGAACUGCGUUUGAAACUACAAGGCU